This is a long non-coding RNA of Astatotilapia calliptera (eastern happy), 697 nucleotides long. The record is from Ensembl. Lineage: Eukaryota; Metazoa; Chordata; Actinopteri; Cichliformes; Cichlidae.
AAACAAAUCAAUGAAUUGAUCAGCAGCUUGUAAAAUUUCUAAGUUUUUUUUUAAAUUGGGAAUAUAGCGCGUCAUUGGAAAAACUACAUGUCCCACGAUGCCUCACUCUCAAGCUGACCAAAGGGAACGACCAGCCGUUCAGCUGAGCCUCAAGUUUGCUGAGGGAAACUUCAGCGCCGACCACGACCUUGAACAGAUACACAUGAAAUAAACACGACAGAAGCCGGCCGGUAAACCAGCAGUAGCAUGAGAAAGCAAGUCAUUUGAUCAGGAAACAAUAAAGGAACCUUUACCCACUGCACACAAAAAAAUCAAAUGCUAAGAAAACUGCUACAGCAGCACCCCGUCAUUACCUUCAGUCUCAGUCAGAGCCCAAUGCCCUGGAUGCCUGUGUUUUCCCCCUGAGCAACCGGGCGGCCUCAGUCUCCAAGUGGGACACCUGGCUCCGAGUUGACCUUCACCCUGAACCCCCCAGCCCCAGCCAAGCUGUCCCACCCUGUCUCAACCCCCCUCACUUCUUCUCCUCGUUCUUCUCUUUCUCCUCCCUUCUGGCCCCCACAGGCCCAUCUGGACACCCAGUCAGCCUUCUCCCUCAAUGAGGGGCAGGGGGAGGCUAAGGGGUCCCUGGACGUGGACCCUCAGCCUCUUCACGUUGCCUCACAGGGGUACUUAAGUGAGCUGGGACAACGAGCCUGCC